Molecule: ribosomal RNA, 468 nt
Filed under: uncultured bacterium
Lineage: Bacteria
Description: partial 16S ribosomal RNA
Rfam family: Bacterial small subunit ribosomal RNA
Source: RNAcentral
GACGAACGCUGGCGGCGUGCUUAACACAUGCCAGUCGAACGGUGAAGCUCCAGCUUGCUGGAGUGGAUCAGUGGCGAACGGGUGAGUAACACGUGAGCAACCUGCCCCUGACUCUGGAAUAAGCGCUGGAAACGGCGUCUAAUACUGGAUACGAGAAGGGUCCGCAUGGGCACUUUCUGGAAAGUUUUUCGGUUGGGGAUGGGCUCGCGGCCUAUCAGCUUGUUGGUGAGGUAAUGGCUCACCAAGGCGACGACGGGUAGCCGGCCUGGGAGGGCGACCGGCCACACUGGGACUGAGACACGGCCCAGACUCCUACGGGAGGCAGCAGUGGGGAAUAUUGCACAAUGGGCGAAAGCCUGAUGCAGCGACGCCGCGUGAGGGAUGACGGCCUUCGGGUUGUAAACCUCUUUCAGCAGGGAAGAAGCGAAAGUGACGGUACCUGCAGAAGAAGCACCGGCUAACUACGUG